UUUGUUUCGCUUUAGUAGUUCUCUCUCUCUCUCUAAACUCUCUCUCUCUUUCUCUCACUCGGUGCCGCACCACCAUAGGAACCCCCAGUCGCGCCGCCGACCACUCCCAGCCACCAAAACUGCUGUCGAGUUAGCCCCUCUUCCUUGGUGAGCUCCUUCAUCGCAGACUCUUUCUCUCUCAAGUCUCUGUUUUCCUUUUCAGUUUAGCCAUGUUUUCGGAUUCUUGAUAGAAUCCGUAGGUCUUAUUGGGCCGUUGGGCCCUAAGCCCUUGUGCGUACGUGUGAUGAG
This is a long non-coding RNA of Juglans microcarpa x Juglans regia, 288 nucleotides long. RefSeq lists it as uncharacterized. The transcript has 3 exons. NCBI's taxonomy places the organism in Eukaryota, Viridiplantae, Streptophyta, Magnoliopsida, Fagales, Juglandaceae. The record is from RefSeq and is a predicted model, not a curated record.